UACAUUCUCUCUCUCUCUCAUCUCAUUCACUCGGUCCUCUCUCUCUCCCACUCUUAUUCCAUUUUCUCUAGGGAAGAUGAUUUCCACAACCAUUCUCGCUGAUGCCGUCGCCGUUACAUCUUGAUAGAUUUUUCGGAAGGUUGAUCUCCAACCACAUCCUUGUUGUCGCUGUCGAUUUUUCUGUGCUCAGGAAUCCCUAUUUUGUUCCUCCUGUUUUCUCCCUCUUCCAUCUUCAACUAAGAUUUACAGAUCCAGUUUGAUCAUUGCAAUAAUGGAUGAAGGUCAAUCUGCAGAUGGGAAUGAAGAUAUUCAUCAAAUAAAAUUGU
This is a long non-coding RNA of Medicago truncatula (barrel medic), 326 nucleotides long. RefSeq lists it as uncharacterized. The transcript is spliced from 2 exons. Lineage: Eukaryota; Viridiplantae; Streptophyta; Magnoliopsida; Fabales; Fabaceae. The record is from RefSeq and is a predicted model, not a curated record.